GAUGAAGAACGUAGUAAAUGCGAUAAGUAGUGUGAAUUGCAGAAUUCAGUGAAUCAUCGAAUCUUUGAACGCACAUUGCGCCCUUUGGUAUUCCUUAGGGCAUGCCUGUUCGAGCGUCAUUUAAACCUUCAAGCUCAGCUUGGUGUUGGGUGACUGUCCGCUUCACCGCGGACUCGCCUCAAAAUUAUUGGCGGCCGGUACAUUGGCUUCGAGCGCAGCAGAAACGCGAACUCGGGCCCGUCGUAUUGGCUCCCAGAAGCUAUCUUCACAAUUUUGACCUCGGAUCAGGUAGGGAUACCCGCUGAACUUAAGCAUAUCAAUAAGCGGAGGA
RNAcentral lists this unclassified non-coding RNA (331 nucleotides) under soil metagenome. RNAcentral describes it as "partial contains 5.8S ribosomal RNA, internal transcribed spacer 2, and large subunit ribosomal RNA". The stretch from base 1 to 119 matches the Rfam family "5.8S ribosomal RNA", at positions 35 to 154 of the family's 154-position model. The record is from RNAcentral.